UACGGGGGGAGCAAGCGUUGUUCGGAUUUACUGGGCGUAAAGGGCGCGUAGGCGGUCGUGACAAGUCACUUGUGAAAUCUACCGGGCUUAACUCGGAACGGUCGAAGUGAUACUGUCGGACUAGAGUACAGAAGGGGGCAACUGGAAUUCUCGGUGUAGCGGUGAAAUUCGUAGAUAUCGGGAGGAACACCGGUGGCGAAGGCGGCGAUCUGGGUCGAUACUGACGCUGAGGUGCGAAAGCGUGGGGGAGCAAACAGG
Molecule: ribosomal RNA, 258 nt
Filed under: uncultured bacterium
Lineage: Bacteria
Description: partial 16S ribosomal RNA
Rfam family: Bacterial small subunit ribosomal RNA
Source: RNAcentral